GACGAACGCUGGCGGCACGCCUAACACAUGCAAGUCGGGCGGAGAUUUAAAGCUUGCUUUAAAUCUUAGCGGCGGACGGGUGAGUAACACGUGAGGAACCUGCCUUUCAGAGGGGAAUAACGUUUGGAAACGGACGCUAAUACCGCAUAAUGUAUGUUUGUGGCAUCACAGACAUACCAAAGGAGUAAUCCGCUGAGAGAUGGCCUCGCGCCUGAUUAGCUAGUUGGUG
RNAcentral lists this ribosomal RNA (229 nucleotides) under uncultured bacterium. Its description in RNAcentral is "partial 16S ribosomal RNA". It matches the Rfam family "Bacterial small subunit ribosomal RNA", at positions 28 to 254 of the family's 1533-position model. The record is from RNAcentral.